This is a long non-coding RNA of Salvelinus fontinalis (brook trout), 408 nucleotides long. RefSeq lists it as uncharacterized. The transcript has 4 exons. The record is from RefSeq and is a predicted model, not a curated record. Lineage: Eukaryota; Metazoa; Chordata; Actinopteri; Salmoniformes; Salmonidae.
CCUAGUCAUUUUUUUCGUCAUCAUUGCAUGCGAUCAUCAUUCUCAAAGCCGCUGUAGCACCGCCCUUCGACACAAAUCUUCAAAUAGCUGCUGCAGGAACAUCUUUGGAGACACCACUGGUUCACAGUGGAGGGCCAGCUGAAAGCCCUUCAAUGACAGAGAAUAACACAUACAUCUGUUGGUAGUUACAGUCUUGUCCCAUUGCUGCAACUCCCGUACGGAUACGGGAAGGAGCCAUGCGUCCUCCGAAAACACGACCCUCUGCACUGCUUCUUGACACACUGCUCGCUUAACCCGGAAGCCAGCCACACCAAUGUGUCAGAGGAGAGAAGAGGCGCUUAUCUAUGACCACAGGUGAUGUAACGCUCGUCGUUAGGUGGAAGAGAGGAGGACCAAAGAGCUGCGUGG